AUAGGUGUGUUGGAAUGGUAGACAAACUCCGUUUAGGUCGGAGAGGCAGCCCGUGCCGUGCGAGUUCAAGUCUUGCCACCUAUA
RNAcentral lists this transfer RNA (84 nucleotides) under Claviceps purpurea (ergot fungus). RNAcentral's name for it is "transfer RNA-Pseudo(TAG)". The record is from RNAcentral. Lineage: Eukaryota; Fungi; Ascomycota; Sordariomycetes; Hypocreales; Clavicipitaceae.